GGGCAAGGGCGGGGCUAUAAUGCAGUCGACGAACUCUGGUAUUGAUUGGUGCUUGCAUCAUGAUUUACAUUUGAGUGAGUGGCGAACUGGUGAGUAACACGUGGGAAACCUGCCCAGAAGCGGGGGAUAACACCUGGAAACAGAUGCUAAUACCGCAUAACAACUUGGACCGCAUGGUCCGAGUUUGAAAGAUGGCUUCGGCUAUCACUUUUGGAUGGUCCCGCGGCGUAUUAGCUAGAUGGUGGGGUAACGGCUCACCAUGGCAAUGAUACGUAGCCGACCUGAGAGGGUAAUCGGCCACAUUGGGACUGAGACACGGCCCAAACUCCUACGGGAGGCAGCAGUAGGGAAUCUUCCACAAUGGACGAAAGUCUGAUGGAGCAACGCCGCGUGAGUGAAGAAGGGUUUCGGCUCGUAAAACUCUGUUGUUAAAGAAGAACAUAUCUGAGAGUAACUGUUCAGGUAUUGACGGUAUUUAACCAGAAAGCCACGGCUAACUACGUGCCAGCAGCCGCGGUAAUACGUAGGUGGCAAGCGUUGUCCGGAUUUAUUGGGCGUAAAGCGAGCGCAGGCGGUUUUUUAAGUCUGAUGUGAAAGCCUUCGGCUCAACCGAAGAAGUGCAUCGGAAACUGGGAAACUUGAGUGCAGAAGAGGACAGUGGAACUCCAUGUGUAGCGGUGAAAUGCGUAGAUAUAUGGAAGAACACCAGUGGCGAAGGCGGCUGUCUGGUCUGUAACUGACGCUGAGGCUCGAAAGUAUGGGUAGCAAACAGGAUUAGAUACCCUGGUAGUCCAUACCGUAAACGAUGAAUGCUAAGUGUUGGAGGGUUUCCGCCCUUCAGUGCUGCAGCUAACGCAUUAAGCAUUCCGCCUGGGGAGUACGGGCCGCAAGGCUGAAACUCAAAGGAAUUGACGGGGGCCCGCACAAGCGGUGGAGCAUGUGGUUUAAUUCGAAGCUACGCGAAGAACCUUACCAGGUCUUGACAUACUAUGCAAAUCUAAGAGAUUAGACGUUCCCUUCGGGACAUGGAUACAGGUGGUGCAUGGUUGUCGUCAGCUCGUGUCGUGAGAUGUUGGGUUAGUCCCGCACGAGCGCA
Molecule: ribosomal RNA, 1096 nt
Filed under: Lactiplantibacillus plantarum
Lineage: Bacteria; Bacillati; Bacillota; Bacilli; Lactobacillales; Lactobacillaceae
Description: bacterial SSU rRNA
Rfam family: Bacterial small subunit ribosomal RNA
Source: RNAcentral